This 2613-nucleotide ribosomal RNA is filed under the name Escherichia coli. RNAcentral describes it as "partial 23S ribosomal RNA". It matches the Rfam family "Bacterial large subunit ribosomal RNA". The record is from RNAcentral. Lineage: Bacteria; Pseudomonadati; Pseudomonadota; Gammaproteobacteria; Enterobacterales; Enterobacteriaceae.
GGUUAAGCGACUAAGCGUACACGGUGGAUGCCCUGGCAGUCAGAGGCGAUGAAGGACGUGCUAAUCUGCGAUAAGCGUCGGUAAGGUGAUAUGAACCGUUAUAACCGGCGAUUUCCGAAUGGGGAAACCCAGUGUGAUUCGUCACACUAUCAUUAACUGAAUCCAUAGGUUAAUGAGGCGAACCGGGGGAACUGAAACAUCUAAGUACCCCGAGGAAAAGAAAUCAACCGAGAUUCCCCCAGUAGCGGCGAGCGAACGGGGAGCAGCCCAGAGCCUGAAUCAGUGUGUGUGUUAGUGGAAGCGUCUGGAAAGGCGCGCGAUACAGGGUGACAGCCCCGUACACAAAAAUGCACAUGCUGUGAGCUCGAUGAGUAGGGCGGGACACGUGGUAUCCUGUCUGAAUAUGGGGGGACCAUCCUCCAAGGCUAAAUACUCCUGACUGACCGAUAGUGAACCAGUACCGUGAGGGAAAGGCGAAAAGAACCCCGGCGAGGGGAGUGAAAAAGAACCUGAAACCGUGUACGUACAAGCAGUGGGAGCACGCUUAGGCGUGUGACUGCGUACCUUUUGUAUAAUGGGUCAGCGACUUAUAUUCUGUAGCAAGGUUAACCGAAUAGGGGAGCCGAAGGGAAACCGAGUCUUAACUGGGCGUUAAGUUGCAGGGUAUAGACCCGAAACCCGGUGAUCUAGCCAUGGGCAGGUUGAAGGUUGGGUAACACUAACUGGAGGACCGAACCGACUAAUGUUGAAAAAUUAGCGGAUGACUUGUGGCUGGGGGUGAAAGGCCAAUCAAACCGGGAGAUAGCUGGUUCUCCCCGAAAGCUAUUUAGGUAGCGCCUCGUGAAUUCAUCUCCGGGGGUAGAGCACUGUUUCGGCAAGGGGGUCAUCCCGACUUACCAACCCGAUGCAAACUGCGAAUACCGGAGAAUGUUAUCACGGGAGACACACGGCGGGUGCUAACGUCCGUCGUGAAGAGGGAAACAACCCAGACCGCCAGCUAAGGUCCCAAAGUCAUGGUUAAGUGGGAAACGAUGUGGGAAGGCCCAGACAGCCAGGAUGUUGGCUUAGAAGCAGCCAUCAUUUAAAGAAAGCGUAAUAGCUCACUGGUCGAGUCGGCCUGCGCGGAAGAUGUAACGGGGCUAAACCAUGCACCGAAGCUGCGGCAGCGACACUAUGUGUUGUUGGGUAGGGGAGCGUUCUGUAAGCCUGUGAAGGUGUACUGUGAGGUAUGCUGGAGGUAUCAGAAGUGCGAAUGCUGACAUAAGUAACGAUAAAGCGGGUGAAAAGCCCGCUCGCCGGAAGACCAAGGGUUCCUGUCCAACGUUAAUCGGGGCAGGGUGAGUCGACCCCUAAGGCGAGGCCGAAAGGCGUAGUCGAUGGGAAACAGGUUAAUAUUCCUGUACUUGGUGUUACUGCGAAGGGGGGACGGAGAAGGCUAUGUUGGCCGGGCGACGGUUGUCCCGGUUUAAGCGUGUAGGCUGGUUUUCCAGGCAAAUCCGGAAAAUCAAGGCUGAGGCGUGAUGACGAGGCACUACGGUGCUGAAGCAACAAAUGCCCUGCUUCCAGGAAAAGCCUCUAAGCAUCAGGUAACAUCAAAUCGUACCCCAAACCGACACAGGUGGUCAGGUAGAGAAUACCAAGGCGCUUGAGAGAACUCGGGUGAAGGAACUAGGCAAAAUGGUGCCGUAACUUCGGGAGAAGGCACGCUGAUAUGUAGGUGAAGUCCCUCGCGGAUGGAGCUGAAAUCAGUCGAAGAUACCAGCUGGCUGCAACUGUUUAUUAAAAACACAGCACUGUGCAAACACGAAAGUGGACGUAUACGGUGUGACGCCUGCCCGGUGCCGGAAGGUUAAUUGAUGGGGUUAGCGCAAGCGAAGCUCUUGAUCGAAGCCCCGGUAAACGGCGGCCGUAACUAUAACGGUCCUAAGGUAGCGAAAUUCCUUGUCGGGUAAGUUCCGACCUGCACGAAUGGCGUAAUGAUGGCCAGGCUGUCUCCACCCGAGACUCAGUGAAAUUGAACUCGCUGUGAAGAUGCAGUGUACCCGCGGCAAGACGGAAAGACCCCGUGAACCUUUACUAUAGCUUGACACUGAACAUUGAGCCUUGAUGUGUAGGAUAGGUGGGAGGCUUUGAAGUGUGGACGCCAGUCUGCAUGGAGCCGACCUUGAAAUACCACCCUUUAAUGUUUGAUGUUCUAACGUUGACCCGUAAUCCGGGUUGCGGACAGUGUCUGGUGGGUAGUUUGACUGGGGCGGUCUCCUCCUAAAGAGUAACGGAGGAGCACGAAGGUUGGCUAAUCCUGGUCGGACAUCAGGAGGUUAGUGCAAUGGCAUAAGCCAGCUUGACUGCGAGCGUGACGGCGCGAGCAGGUGCGAAAGCAGGUCAUAGUGAUCCGGUGGUUCUGAAUGGAAGGGCCAUCGCUCAACGGAUAAAAGGUACUCCGGGGAUAACAGGCUGAUACCGCCCAAGAGUUCAUAUCGACGGCGGUGUUUGGCACCUCGAUGUCGGCUCAUCACAUCCUGGGGCUGAAGUAGGUCCCAAGGGUAUGGCUGUUCGCCAUUUAAAGUGGUACGCGAGCUGGGUUUAGAACGUCGUGAGACAGUUCGGUCCCUA